GGAAGUAAAAGUCUAACAAGGUUUCCGUAGGUGAACCUGCGGAAGGAUCAUUAUUGUAUAACCGAGGUGCGAGGGCUGUCGCUGACCCGAAAGGUCGUGCACGCCCGAGUGCCCUCACACACAUCCAUCUCACCCCUAUGUGCACCACCGCGUGGGUCCCCCUUUGGCUUGUUCGGAGGGGGGCUUACGUUUUCACACAAACUUUGUAUGCAGUGUAGAAUGUAUUUUUUGUUUUUGCGAUCACGCAAUCAAUACAACUUUCAACAACGGAUCUCCUGGCUCUC
Molecule: unclassified non-coding RNA, 284 nt
Filed under: plant metagenome
Description: partial contains small subunit ribosomal RNA and internal transcribed spacer 1
Rfam family: Eukaryotic small subunit ribosomal RNA (bases 1-53)
Source: RNAcentral